CAACUGUUUUAAGUAUCUGAAUUACUAACCGAAAUAUACAAUAAUCGAAUAACCAAAUACCCGAAUAACCGAAUAAUACGGUUAAUCGGUUAAUAACCGAAUAUGAUGGUUUGCAACUUUGCAUAAAAUCAGAGCAGCAGAGAUAAAACAAUAUAUCAGAUCUGAAACAAGACCACAACUCCACAUGGUAACAAAUAGAUUUGAGAAAUUUUAUAUAUAUGAAUAGCUUUACAUUUGCAUUCAGUCAUAAUGGUAGAAAAAGAGGGGGGAAAUGGCUGAGAUCUUGGACGACUCCGCCACCGCCGAUGAUAUCAAGUACGCUGCCAGUCACCCCAGUCGCUCCUACAUACUCGACGCCAAGCUAGGCCAUGGCGGUGACACCUGCUAACGUCAAGCUAGGAAUACCCCAACUCAUAUGCCUUCUGCAUUCAAUCUUCAUCAUCGAUUGGUCUGAAAUAGAUUAGUGGAGAGAUUACAACAAGCAGUCAAGCACAGAUUAGUGGAAGAGGACAACAAGCACAUAUUAGUGGAGAGAGAAGGCAGGAGGAAGAGAAGGAAGGGGGCAAAGUUCGUGAAUCGUGAGAAUAAAAAUAGAACUGGAAAUCCGAAAUAGAUCUGAGAUACUUAAGACUUAAUCUGCAUAGUAUCCCUUGUGUAUACCUAGAAGAUGGAGGAGAAGAAUAGCUCUCUCUUUCUCUCUAUCAAUUGAUAGAGAGAGAAAUUAGGGUUUUGUUGAUGGGUCGAAGAGAUAGUGACGACUGAGAAAAGUGAGAAAUGAAAAUUUGAGGUGUGAAGUUAUUAUUUC
RNAcentral lists this long non-coding RNA (805 nucleotides) under Panax ginseng (ginseng). Its description in RNAcentral is "long non-coding RNA (PGIN_LNC008956)". The record is from RNAcentral. Lineage: Eukaryota; Viridiplantae; Streptophyta; Magnoliopsida; Apiales; Araliaceae.